RNAcentral lists this ribosomal RNA (513 nucleotides) under uncultured Entrophospora. RNAcentral describes it as "SSU rRNA". It matches the Rfam family "Eukaryotic small subunit ribosomal RNA", at positions 591 to 1092 of the family's 1831-position model. Lineage: Eukaryota; Fungi; Glomeromycota; Glomeromycetes; Entrophosporales; Entrophosporaceae. The record is from RNAcentral.
CCAACAGCGUAUAUUAAAGUUGUUGCAGUUAAAAAGCUCGUAGUUGAAUUGAGGGAUUGACGUGACGGUCGUGCCUUACGGGGUAUGAAUGAACUGUUGCUGUUGAUUUUUCUCACCUUCUGGAGAAGCUUGAUGUCCUUAAUUGGGUGUCUUGCGGAUCCAGGACCUUUACCUUGAAAAAAUUAGAGUGUUUAAAGCAGGCAUUUUGCUCGAAUACAUUAGCUUGGAAUAAUAGAAUAGGACGGCAUGGUUCUAUUUUGUUGGUUUCUAGGAUCACCGUAAUGAGUAAAAGGGUUAGUUGGGGGCAUUAGUAUUCAAUUGUCAGAGGUGAAAUACUUGGAUUUGUUGAAGACUAAUUACUGCGAAAGCAUUUGCCAAGGAUGUUUUCAUUAAUCAAGAACGAAAGUUAGGGGAUCGAAGACGAUCAGAUACCGUCGUAGUCUUAACCAAUAAACUAUGUCGACUAGGAAUCAGACGAUGUUAAUUUUUUAAUGAUUCGUUUGGCACCUUACG